This 363-nucleotide unclassified non-coding RNA is filed under the name Hevea brasiliensis (rubber tree). Lineage: Eukaryota; Viridiplantae; Streptophyta; Magnoliopsida; Malpighiales; Euphorbiaceae. The record is from RNAcentral.
UCUAAUUUAGCUUAUACCAAUAACAAUACCGGCAAAUAAAUAAAGUCCCAAUGGAACCAUAGCACUGCUACAAACAAGACAGCCACCCAGUGCACGAGGCUCUCACCGCUGUAGGACUCCUGACUCUCGAAGAUAGAUGUUCGAGGAAGAAGGAUCAUAGUGUAGAUUCAUUUCUUUUUAGCAAUGAAUAGGCCCCACCUCUGCUCGCCACUCGAGCUGCUUCUCUUAAGCUUUGCUUUCCACCCCUCGACGAUAUCGACAUAAUCCUCCUCAGAAAAAUCUUGAACAAAAGCAUCCUUGUCCUUCUCAAUAGCAUCCAAUUCCCUUUGCAAAACUUCCACAAACUGUUCAGUCCUAUCUUCG